UGGAAGUAAAAGUCGUAACAAGGUCUCCGUUGGUGAACCAGCGGAGGGAUCAUUACCGAGUCUUUACAACUCAUAACCCUUUGUGAACCAUUAUACCUAGUUGCUUCGGCGGCGCGCCUCCGGGCGUGCCCGCCGGCCAAUUAUAGUCUCUUAGUUGUGAAUCGACGUUACAUCUGAGUGUUCUAAGCGAACUGUUAAAACUUUCAACAACGGAUCUCUUGGCUCCAGCAUCGAUGAAGAACGCAGCGAAACGCGAUAUGUAGUGUGAAUUGCAGAAUUCAGUGAAUCAUCGAAUCUUUGAACGCACAUUGCGCCUUCCAGUAUCCUGGGAGGCAUGCCUGUCCGAGCGUCGUUUCAACCCUCGAGCCCCCGUGGCCCGGUGUUGGGGACGCUGCCCAGCUACCUGGGCAGCCCCCCUAAAUGCAGUGGCGGUCCCGCAAGUCCCAGCCCUUUGCGUAGUAAUAUCAUUCUCGCUCUGGACGGCUCGCGGGCUUACCAGCCUCGAAACCCCCUACAAAGACCGCCCCGGCGGCAACGGUUGACCUCGGAUCAGGUAGGAAUACCCGCUGAACUUAAGCAUAUCAAUAAGCGGAGGA
This 596-nucleotide unclassified non-coding RNA is filed under the name Acrostalagmus luteoalbus. Its description in RNAcentral is "sequence contains 18S rRNA gene, ITS1, 5.8S rRNA gene, ITS2, 28S rRNA gene". The stretch from base 199 to 352 matches the Rfam family "5.8S ribosomal RNA". Lineage: Eukaryota; Fungi; Ascomycota; Sordariomycetes; Glomerellales; Plectosphaerellaceae. The record is from RNAcentral.